This 65-nucleotide transfer RNA is filed under the name Nipponacmea fuscoviridis. RNAcentral's name for it is "tRNA-Val". Lineage: Eukaryota; Metazoa; Mollusca; Gastropoda; Lottiidae. The record is from RNAcentral.
GAGGCUAUAGUAUACGUAGUACGUCUUGCUUACACCAAGGCAGACCCCCGCUGGGGGUAGCCUCU